This 426-nucleotide long non-coding RNA is filed under the name Rattus norvegicus (Norway rat). RNAcentral describes it as "long non-coding RNA NONRATT021535". Lineage: Eukaryota; Metazoa; Chordata; Mammalia; Rodentia; Muridae. The record is from RNAcentral.
GGCGGAUUCGGAGGGACUUGAGGAUCGCGGCGUCUGGCAAGGAUGUUCCGCCGCGAGCGCUCCAUCCCACUUCGUGGCUCUGCCGCCGCCCUGUCUAACAACCUCAGUGUACUGCAGCUUCCAGCCCGUGAUCUCACGCAUUUUGGGGUGGUUCAUGGACCGAGCGCCCAGCUUCUCAGCGCUGCCCCUGAGGGUGUGCCCUUGGCCCAGCGCCAGCUCCACGUUAAAGAGGGCGCUGGAGUGAGUCCCCCACUUAUCACUCAGGUCCACUGGUGUGUCCUCCCCUUCAGAGUACUGCUGGUCCUCACCUCACACCGAGGGAUACAGAUGUACGAGUCUGACGGCUCCGUCAUGGUUUACUGGCAUGCCUUGGACUCAGGAGAUGCUUCUUCAGUACAGGCUAUGUUUGCCCGAGGAAUUGCUGCC